UAACGGGUUGAAACCUGAUCUUGUAACGUAUUCUGUUCUCAUCCAUGGGCUUUGUAAGCAAGGAGAAGUACAGCAAGCUAUUCAUGUAUACAAUAAGAUGUGUUGUAAUGGAAUAUCUCCAAGCUCUUUAGAACAUUGUGCUAUUUUGAGGAGUUUUAGGGAUAAAGGGAUGAUACAUGAAGCUAGGACAUACUUCAAUUCUUUGCUGGCUGCUGAUGACUGUAGAUUGGAUAUUGUUCUGUAUAAUGUCAUGAUCGAUGCUUACGGGAAACAUGGAGAUAUCGAGGAGGCCCUGCAGUUGUACAGACAAAUAACUGAGAAGGGUAUAUUUCCCAGCGUAGUGACUUUCAAUUCCCUUAUUUAUGGACUAUGUGCUAAUGGAAUGAUUGAUCAGGCUAUAAACUUGUUACAUACUAUCAAGCUGUAUGGAUUGGUGCCAAACGCAGUAACUUACACGACGAUUAUGAACGUGUACGCUGAAGGCGGAGAUCUGCUGAAUGUUCUGGCAUUGCUGCAGGAGAUGAGGAGAAACAACGUGAAACCAUCUCACAUCACUUACACCGUGCUGAUAAAA
RNAcentral lists this long non-coding RNA (574 nucleotides) under Linum usitatissimum (flax). RNAcentral's name for it is "long non-coding RNA (LUSI_LNC004959)". Lineage: Eukaryota; Viridiplantae; Streptophyta; Magnoliopsida; Malpighiales; Linaceae. The record is from RNAcentral.